GUGCAGGGACCCGGGGAGGCGCGCGAGGACCGACCGGUCACCGCUGAAAUUACCUCAUCGCUUCAGCUCCCCGCCCCUUUCCCAAACCUGGAAGAAGCGUCCCUCCGGCCGGAGGCGCCCCCCCCGCCCCCCGCUCGCCAGCCGGUCGCCGGCCGCGCGCCGCCUCCCGGGGCCGCCUCCCCGGGCCGCGCGCAGCCAAGGGUUAAGGGCGCCGGCCGGGCCGUCCGCCGCGCCGUGCGCUCGCGCUGCUCCGAGCCGCCCGCCGCCCGCCGCCCGCCGCGGGGCCCCCCCGCCACCCCCCACCCCCCACCCCCACCCCCAAGUCGGAUCCUUGAGCUGCGGCGGCGGCAGCCAACUGCUCCAUAUUUGGCUUCUAUUACACAUUUACAUACUGGAGCGAGCGAGCGAGCGAGCGAGCGCGAGAGAGCGCGAGGGAGGGAGGGCGGGCGGGCGGAGGGAGGAGGGAGGGGAGGGGAGCGGGGGGGUCGGAGGAGGAGGAGGGCGAGGAGGAGGAGGAGGAGGAGGACGAGAAGGAGGAGGAGGACGGGGAGGAGGAGGAGGAGGAGAGAGCAGAGUGUACCGCAGACAUCAUUUCUACUACAGUGGCGGAGCCGUACAGGACCUGUUUCACUGCAGGGGGAUCACAAAACAAGCCCCGCGGAGCAGCCGCCAGAGCUACAGCAGCCGCAAGACACUGUUUCUCUCCCUCUGCCCCCCCUUCCCCACGCAACCCCAGAUCCAUUUACACUUUACAGAGCAUCGUGCAGCAGCCAGUCCCCAGGGUGGUCCGUUCAAGCUGCGGAUUUGUUUGCCAUCACUCUAAGACAAUCUCCUCCUCCACGGCCACUCCAGGGAAGUGCAUCACAAAUCAGCAUACUGGAGCAAAAUGAAAGAAUUUGUUCUGAGGCCUCAAAAGUAGUGCUGCUACGGACCAUGAGCAAGAAAGGGUGGACUUCAGCCUGCACGGAUGGUCUUGAAACACAAAUAGUUGUGGGUCUAGGCAUUUUACAUUGAGUUUCUCUACUGCCACCCCUUCUACUCAAGCAAAAUCUGUGUGGAAAGAUCCGCUGGGAAGGAACUGACUGCUUAUGUUUCUCCAUUGUGAUGAAAGCACAUGGUACAG
Molecule: long non-coding RNA, 1123 nt
Filed under: Canis lupus familiaris (dog)
Lineage: Eukaryota; Metazoa; Chordata; Mammalia; Carnivora; Canidae
Description: lncRNA (ENSCAFG00040019434.1)
Source: RNAcentral